GAAAUGCGAUAAGUAAUGUGAAUUGCAGAAUUCAGUGAAUCAUCGAAUCUUUGAACGCACCUUGCGCUCCUUGGUAUUCCUUGGAGCAUGCCUGUUUGAGUAUAGAAAUCUUCAAAGUAAAUCUUUUGUUAACUCAAUUGGUUUCUACUUUGGUAUUGGAGGUCUUUGCAGCUUCACACCUGCUCCUCUUUGUUCAUUAGCUGGAUCUCAGUGUUAUGCUUGGUUCCACUCGGCGUGAUAAGUUAUCUAUCGCUGAGGACACUGUAAAAGGUGGCCAAGGUAAAUGCAGAUGAACCGCUUCUAAUAGUCCAUUGACUUGGACAAUACUUUUAUGAUCUGAUCUCAAAUCAGGUAGGACUACCCGCUGAACUUAAGC
RNAcentral lists this unclassified non-coding RNA (376 nucleotides) under plant metagenome. RNAcentral's name for it is "partial contains 5.8S ribosomal RNA, internal transcribed spacer 2, and large subunit ribosomal RNA". The stretch from base 1 to 105 matches the Rfam family "5.8S ribosomal RNA", at positions 50 to 154 of the family's 154-position model. The record is from RNAcentral.